UUAGAGGAAGUAAAAGUCGUAACAAGGUUUCCGUAGGUGAACCUGCGGAAGGAUCAUUACCUAGAGUUGCGGGCUUUGCCUGCCAUCUCUUACCCAUGUCUUUUGAGUACCUUACGUUUCCUCGGCGGGUCCGCCCGCCGAUUGGACAAUUUAAACCAUUUGCAGUUGCAAUCAGCGUCUGAAAAAAACUUAAUAGUUACAACUUUCAACAACGGAUCUCUUGGUUCUGGCAUCGAUGAAGAACGCAGCGAAAUGCGAUAAGUAGUGUGAAUUGCAGAAUUCAGUGAAUCAUCGAAUCUUUGAACGCACAUUGCGCCCCUUGGUAUUCCAUGGGGCAUGCCUGUUCGAGCGUCAUUUGUACCUUCAAGCUCUGCUUGGUGUUGGGUGUUUGUCUCGCCUCCGCGCGCAGACUCGCCUCAAAACAAUUGGCAGCCGGCGUAUUGAUUUCGGAGCGCAGUACAUCUCGCGCUUUGCACUCACAACGACGACGUCCAAAAGUACAUUUUUUACACUCUUGACCUCGGAUCAGGUAGGGAUACCCGCUGAACUUAAGCAUA
RNAcentral lists this ribosomal RNA (557 nucleotides) under aff. Phoma sp. RNAcentral describes it as "eukaryotic LSU rRNA". The stretch from base 201 to 354 matches the Rfam family "5.8S ribosomal RNA". The record is from RNAcentral. Lineage: Eukaryota; Fungi; Ascomycota; Dothideomycetes; Pleosporales; Didymellaceae.